AACGAACGCUGGCGGCAUGCCUAACACAUGCAAGUCGAACGAGACCUUCGGGUCUAGUGGCGCACGGGUGCGUAACGCGUGGGAACCUGCCCUUAGGUUCGGAAUAACUCCCCGAAAGGGGUGCUAAUACCGGAUAAUGUCUUCGGACCAAAGAUUUAUCGCCUUUGGAUGGGCCCGCGUUGGAUUAGCUAGUUGGUAGGGUAAAAGCCUACCAAGGCGACGAUCCAUAGCUGGUCUGAGAGGAUGAUCAGCCACACUGGGACUGAGACACGGCCCAGACUCCUACGGGAGGCAGCAGUGGGGAAUAUUGGACAAUGGGCGAAAGCCUGAGCCAGCAAUGCCGCGUGAGUGAUGAAGGCCUUAGGGUUGUAAAGCUCUUUUACCCGGGAUGAUAAUGAGAGUACCGGGAGAAUAGGCUCCGGCUAACUCCGUG
Molecule: ribosomal RNA, 433 nt
Filed under: uncultured bacterium
Lineage: Bacteria
Description: partial 16S ribosomal RNA
Rfam family: Bacterial small subunit ribosomal RNA
Source: RNAcentral